GACGAACGCUGGCGGCGUGCUUAACACAUGCAAGUCGAACGGAAAGGCCCUGCUUUUGUGGGGUGCUCGAGUGGCGAACGGGUGAGUAACACGUGAGUAACCUGCCCUUGACUUUGGGAUAACUUCAGGAAACUGGGGCUAAUACCGGAUAGGAGCUCCUGCUGCAUGGUGGGGGUUGGAAAGUUUCGGCGGUUGGGGAUGGACUCGCGGCUUAUCAGCUUGUUGGUGGGGUAGUGGCUUACCAAGGCUUUGACGGGUAGCCGGCCUGAGAGGGUGACCGGCCACAUUGGGACUGAGAGACGGCCCAGACUCCUACGGGAGGCAGCAGUGGGGAAUAUUGCACAAUGGGCGGAAGCCUGAUGCAGCAACGCCGCGUGCGGGGUGACGGCCUUCGGGUUGUAAACCGCUUUCGCCUGUGACGAAGCGUGAGUGACGGUAAUGGGUAAAGAAGCACCGGCUAACUACGUG
This 468-nucleotide ribosomal RNA is filed under the name uncultured bacterium. Its description in RNAcentral is "partial 16S ribosomal RNA". It matches the Rfam family "Bacterial small subunit ribosomal RNA", at positions 28 to 507 of the family's 1533-position model. The record is from RNAcentral.